UGCCACUGAGCAAUCAACACCCACUACCGGGUUCAGAAAUACUUGAAUCUGCACAGAAGGUGCAGGGAGUAAUAUGAGUAUGCCAACUCAGUAAGUAAUAAAAGUAAAUGAAAGCCGAGCAACAAGAAAACACGUAAGCCACGUCAUAACGCUAUAGCAAAAGCAGUACAUUUCCAAAACAGUACAAAAAUCAUUUACUUCAUAAAUCAAGCUCAGUUUCAGUAAAACCUUUCAAAACAACUUUCAAUAGUUUCAAACGAGUGAUAAAAUAGUGAGUAAAAAUGAUAGGAAUGUAAACAGCCCCUCAAGCAAAACAUGUACCAUAAACCACCCCUCGGGCAUAAUAUCAACAGAUCCAGUCCCUCAGGCAACCUCACAGUCACUCGUAAUCAGCCGUUCGGGCAUAACAUGAAUCAAGAACCGCCCCUCGGACAAAACAUGGAUCAAGAACUGCCCCUCAGGCAACAAUGUGAAACAACAACCCUUUGGGCUACAUCAUAUCAUGCAUACUGGGUACCCGCGCUCACCGGGGGUGUACAGACUCCGGGAGGGGCCCUUUACGGGCCAAGCGCAAUAACAAUCCAUCUCGUGGCAUAAUCAAAUAGUCUCUCGUCCUUAUAUCAAGCCACCUCGUGGCAUAACAAAUCGGGCCCUUAACCUCAUAAUCAUAAAUCAGUACCACACUGCUACGGUGCGCCGCCUAAUCCCAUAAUAUCCUCACAAUAAAGGCUUUGGGCCUCACUCAGUCAAAAAUCUCUAAUACAACUCGGGCAAAAGUAAAAUAUGAUGCUCAAUCCAAAAUAUCAUUUAAAAUAUCAAAACGGAGUAAAUAUGGUUGAGUUAUAAAAAAAUAGUAGAAUAUAGCAUGAUUGAGUAUAAAUAUGAAGUCAAAACAGUGAGGGAUAGUAGUAAAAAUCACCCAAAGGGUCAAAAAAAGUUAGCACGAAGCCCAAAUACGGCAUUAAGCCAAAACAUGGUAAUAAUUUCCAAAACACAAUGAUAUCAAACUUUUUUCAAUCAAAUACGUGACAUUACAGUUGUCACGACCCAAACCGAUGGGCCGCGACGAGCGCCCUGUACCUUACUCAACUGAGUACCAAUGUAACGUAUGUUUCUUAUUACAUCAUCAUAUACACAUGACAUACUGGCCUAAUAGGCCAACAUGUUCCUUUAUAAACUUAAAACAUAGGCCGACAAGGCCGUACAAUUUUUUAUGUACACGACAUAUGCGUCUAAGAGUACAUAAAUAUCAUAAAGGUUGGGACAGAGUCCCGCCAUACCAAACAAUAUGUGUCAAAGUCAUACUAACCAAACUAGCAACCCCGAAGCAAAUGGAGCGCACCAACAUCCUCCGCUGAGCUGAUAGCCUGCUUGGAGGACUCUCCACCUGUCCAUCGGGGCCUAUGGGCCUAAAACGCAGCGUCACCAAGCAAAAGGGACGUCAAUACUAAUAAUGUACCGAGUAUGUAAGGCACAUAAAUAAGUACAUAAGAGACAUGGAAGAAAUAUAGAGUACAUGACUCAACCUGUAAGUAUGAAUAACUUUGUAAAUCAUAAAUUACUUUUAGCGUCAUGCAUAUGCGUAUGAAUGUCAUGUCAUGCAUAGGUACAUGUUUCAUAACAUCAUCAGCCUCUAAGGGCAUCCUAUCAUAUCAUAUAGGCCACUAUGGGCAAAAUCUUCAUCUUAUACCAGCUGAUCAAGUGGUGGUGCGUAUAUAACGCCAUAAGCUUUCCCAUAUCCCAUACACACACACACACAUACACACAUAUAUAUAUAUAUAGAUACACGUAUAUAUAUAUAUACACGUAUAUAACACCAUUUUAAUCAUAUUUCAGCAAUGUGGGCAACAUCAUCAUCAUAUACUAGCUGAUCAGGUGGUGGUGCGUAUAUAAUGUCGUAACCUUUUUCCAUAUCCCAUAUACAUAUAUUUACAUAUAUACGCGUAUAUAACGCCAUCUGGUCAUGGGUCAAUACACAUAUAUGAAAUACAUAAAAAAUGCAUAAUAAUCUCAAUAUUUCUUCUGUAUAAAUUUUUCCAACAGCGUAUUAUUCUGUGACCUAUGAGCAGAAUAUAAUAAUAUUUUUCAUGGGGAAUCAAGAAUAUAGACACCCUUGCUAUUUCUAUGAAUAAAGUAAUUUAUGGAAACUGUGUGUUUGCUCGUUUCUUCAGUAUAAUAUGGACCAUACCAAAAGAAAGAAGGGAGGUCCUUAACAUACCUGUUCCUGGAAUUAUUUGAACUGAAUGAAGCUUCUGCUUUCGUGAAAUAUGUUAAACGAAAUUCUUACUGAAUCCCUUGAAAUUGAGAGGAAAACGUUUAUGGUUCUUUGAGUUUUAGAAGAAUAACGUUUAGAUUCCUUAUGAUUGACAUUGUAUUUGAAUGUUGGAGAUAAUGAUCUGCUUUUAACGUCUUUGGUUUGAAUCCAAAGACAGAAUGUUGUUUCCUAAUGAAUGGCUUACUAAGUUUCUAAAAAAAUGAUCAAAAGUCUUGUUUAAGAC
This 2498-nucleotide long non-coding RNA is filed under the name Nicotiana tabacum (common tobacco). Its description in RNAcentral is "long non-coding RNA (NTAB_LNC015070)". The record is from RNAcentral. Lineage: Eukaryota; Viridiplantae; Streptophyta; Magnoliopsida; Solanales; Solanaceae.